UCUUUUUUUUUUCUAGUUCUCGGCGGACACAACAUCUUUCUUUGUAUGUGGUGCUGAGGAUCGAACCUGGGCCGCACAGCAUGCCAGUCGAGCACGCUACCGCUUGAGCCACAUCCCCCAGCCCGAAAUAGUUGUUUUUAAAAUGACUUUCAGGCUGAGUGUGGUGGAGCACCCUGUGAUCCCAGCAACUCAGGAGGCUGAGGCUGGAGGAUGGUGAGUUUGAGGCCAGCCUGGGAAACUUAGGGAGACUCGGCCUUGAAAUACAAAGGACUGAGAGUGUGGCUUUGGGGUCGAGCACUGCCCAGCAAGCACUGCCCAGUGCGUGGCCCUGGGUUCUUCCCCAGGACUGGAAAUACCCGCUUUGAACAGUGCCAGGCUGGUGGAGCUCCUCAGAUGGGCGGAGGUGGGCGCCCUGUGAUGCCUCUCUUUGGCAGGGAAGCUGCAGGGGAACCAGAGAAGGUGGACACAGGCCAGGCCUUGGGCCAGCUGCUCAGCAUCACACUCUUUUGUGGCCUGCUGGUGACAGUGACGUGGGACUUGCUUCCAGUGCUCAAUGCUUCGCCCACAGUGACUGAUGUCAGCCCAUGGAGGCCAAGGAGGGAAUAAUCACUGAGCUUGGCAGGUCUGGGACCUGAACCGGCAGCUGGCCUCUCACUGCCGAGCAGCAACAAGAAUACUGCAUUGGGCUUCCUCAUUACUGGGGCAAAUAACCUGGGCACCGUCCUCGAGGAGCAGCAGGAUGGGAUGCUGUGCCCACAAGGAAAGGUUGGGUGGGCACCAGGCUCUGAGAUUCCCCUGGACACGCCUCACGCCCGCACAGGGCCCAGCUCUGCAGGACAGCGCGGGUCCCCACGGUCUUAUACGGGUUCCCAACCAGCUUUGGCUGGGCCACCAUGUUAUAUGAACUUCUUUUCUUUUUGCCAAGGAAUCUUGGGACAGUCAUCUCAGGUUAGGAGGGACGUACUGGUCUUUGGGCCCCAUGUUGGGCUUCGCUGGGCGGGGAAAGGAGGGUUCUUUCUCCAGACGAGGGGGCUCAUCAGCCCACUUCAUUGAGGGCCAGCAACAGAACCUGACCCAGGAUAACUUAGUGUUACCGCUGUUGACCGGUGACGAGUCCUUGCUUCCCCAAUGUUGAAGAAUAACACCAGAGAAGCACGCGAGGCAAGGUCAGAGUAGAAAUUAGAAGUUUAUUAAAGGACAGCAGAAAAGACUUCUCCCGGAGGAAGAAGGGGACCCAAGAGGUGGAAUCCGUGGAAGUGCCAUUGUUUCACCUUUUUAUAGUUUUGGUGAUGGAAUGUAGGGGGGAAGGGUUGGGACACAGGUGGGCCAAACAAGUAAUCUGGGCAGGAAGGACUUCAUUAACACUUCUUUGGGAUGGGCUAUCUCCAAAUCUGUUAGGGCUCUUCAUUAACAUUCCUUUGGGAUGGACUUUGGGCCUUGGGACUUCAUUAUUAUUCCAUGAGUUGUCCUGCGUUUCCCAGAAUCAUUCUCAACAUGGCCUCCAUUUUAGAUUUCACUGAUAUUAGAGCCGAUUUACCUAACUACACUGACUACCUAACUUUAAAUCUGGCUUCAUUAGGACAAGGAAAGUGGCCAUGGCCACUGCUGCCACUGGGUGGAGGGACCCAAGCUUCCACAGGAACCCGCAGCUUCCAUGGGUGGAGAGCUGACUAGCUCCCUGGUCAUGCUAGGUGUGACUGUUGGGAUGAGGGAACUUCUGUCACCCCUGGUGUUCCCCGCUCCAAAGCCAAACUCCCAGGAAAACAAGUCUAACUUG
Molecule: long non-coding RNA, 1777 nt
Filed under: Marmota monax (woodchuck)
Lineage: Eukaryota; Metazoa; Chordata; Mammalia; Rodentia; Sciuridae
Source: RNAcentral